Molecule: long non-coding RNA, 1224 nt
Organism: Heterocephalus glaber (naked mole-rat)
Lineage: Eukaryota; Metazoa; Chordata; Mammalia; Rodentia; Bathyergidae
Source: Ensembl
GCUCGGUGUGGGGGUGGGGGGCUCUCUCCCCUCGGGUCCCUUACACUGCUGCCAUGUUGGCUUGAGACGCGCAGACAGAAGGCAUCCGCGAUACUGGAGAUCGAACUCGGGUCCUUGGCGCUUGUGCAGCAGGCGGUGAAACCACUGCGCUAAAUCCACGGCCCCUCAUGUUUUCAUAUAAAGUGAUCACAAGUUCAUCCCCUUGUUGAAGAAAUAGUAAAUUUUCUGGGGAUAUAAAUGGAUGUGUCUCCUACACAAAUUAGAUCUUUUGAGAACCCAUGGAACCUAGUCAAGGCACAUUUAUCAAACUUCGAUUUUGAAGACAGCUCUAAGGAUGAUAGGAGGUUAGAUACCUGGAAGGCCACUUUAUAGAUAAGGAGUAAUAAAGACUGAUUCACCUCUCAUUCAUUCUGAUGUCUUGGGAAGAGAGAACCAACAAGGAAAAAAAUCCUUUGGAACACCACAUCAUCCCACAGGGAAAUUAUGUGCUCCGAGUUGGAAUAACAAGAGAGAAAUGUGCCUAAUGAGAAGAUAUUUAAAGCUGUAAACAUCUCCUUUGUUGUUAUCCAUUAGUGUAUGCAACAGUCAUCCGGAUGGGACUUGGUUUGUUAUUUUGAAUUCCUGCAUCUGGUUGGGAACAGAUGCUUGUCCAAUUCUUUCUGUCUUGUCUGGCAGCACAGUUUCAGUCCCCAUCUUCAUCUAUCCAGCAAGGAAUUUGAACUUAUAUACAGAGACCUUCCAGUGAGAAAACCCAUCCAAGUGAGUGCAACAGCCCAGCAGGUGCUAUAAGGCAGUUGCUUAAUGACUGGGAGACAAGAUCAUUUAGCUAAGGUGAAUGAGACCAAAUGCAACCUCACUAACAGCUGAGAAAUUCUGUGGUUGUUUGCUUGCUUGCUUCAUUAAUUUGAUGAUAUAUUUAUUCACCAUGUUAAAAAGUGAAGGGAACAAUGAACUAAGUAAUACAAAGGUCAUGUGACAGUUAAGCAAUGACAACAAAAGCUAAAUUACAAGAGGGAUUGAGAGGCAUAAAGUGGUUUCAAGUGUCCAUAGACCCUUGUAAUUAAUUAGGUGAAAAAAGGAAUGCAUUAUCUGUGGUAAGACGUAAGUAAAGUGAGUGUAUUUCUUAUUUCUGAGAUGAAACGCUACUUUGACUUGUUUAUUAAUAUCUUACACCUGAUUUCUAUAUUUAUCAGCAUUUCAAUGCAAUUUUCCAGUUUAUUAUUU